This 46-nucleotide non-coding RNA is filed under the name Schistosoma mansoni. Lineage: Eukaryota; Metazoa; Platyhelminthes; Trematoda; Strigeidida; Schistosomatidae. The record is from RNAcentral.
AUCCAGCUGACAAGUCCCAAAAUAGGACGAAACGCGUCUCCUGGAU